UGCCCCUAACUAAAGGUGGUUAGUGUUGCCCCUAAUUAAAGGUGGGUAGUGUUGUCCCUAACUAAAGGUGGUUAGUGUUGCCCCUAACUAAGGGUAGUUA
Erpetoichthys calabaricus (reedfish) is the source of this 100-nucleotide long non-coding RNA. RefSeq lists it as uncharacterized. The record is from RefSeq and is a predicted model, not a curated record. NCBI's taxonomy places the organism in Eukaryota, Metazoa, Chordata, Cladistia, Polypteriformes, Polypteridae. The transcript has 3 exons.